UUGGGAGGAAGCCAAACAUGAAGAAAGUUGCCUUUAUUCUGUGUUAUCAGCAGUGCCGUUGCACCUGGUGCUGAGCUUACCCACAUGAAAGGACGUGGCUGCAUCCCGCGUGAGGUGACGCGAGUGCCAGCUCAUGAGAACUGAUUUAACCCACAUAAUACUUACAUAAACAACUGUCCACGCUGGGCCAAAUUCCAUCCUGACUGAAGGUGCAUUUGGGAUACAAUGGCCCAGAACUGUUCAGUCAUGCUUGGUUGCUCUGAUCCGAAGGAACCACUCUGCUCUGCUUGGAGGCAGUGCUUUCAGGAGGACAACAGGAGUUAUGUGGGCCCUCCUUUCCUGCCUGAAUCCUGUGGAGGAAGAAGCAUUCACGUUCACAUGCUAUUCCUUGUUUCAAGAUUAUUUAAGAAACCACCGCUGUUGAACUAG
Molecule: long non-coding RNA, 429 nt
Filed under: Parus major (Great Tit)
Lineage: Eukaryota; Metazoa; Chordata; Aves; Passeriformes; Paridae
Description: lncRNA (ENSPMJG00000001875.1)
Source: RNAcentral